UACAGAGGGUGCAAGCGUUAUUCGGAAUUACUGGGCGUAAAGCGCAUGUAGGUGGUCUGGUUAGUCAGACGUGAAAUCCCUAGGCUUAACCGUGGAACUGCGUUUGAUACUUUCAUACUAGAGUACCGGAGGGGGGGGUGGAAUUUUCGGUGUAGAGUUGAAAUUCGUAGAUAUCGGAAGGAACACCAGAAGCGAAGGCGGCCACCUGGAAGGAUACUGACGCUGAUAUGCUAAAGCGUGGGGAGCAAACAGG
This 253-nucleotide ribosomal RNA is filed under the name uncultured bacterium. RNAcentral's name for it is "partial 16S ribosomal RNA". It matches the Rfam family "Bacterial small subunit ribosomal RNA", at positions 524 to 776 of the family's 1533-position model. The record is from RNAcentral.